Oncorhynchus mykiss (rainbow trout) is the source of this 1068-nucleotide non-coding RNA. The record is from RefSeq and is a predicted model, not a curated record. Lineage: Eukaryota; Metazoa; Chordata; Actinopteri; Salmoniformes; Salmonidae.
GUACAUAUUUGUAUGUUGACAUUUGCCUGUGAAAAAAGGUGAAUAACGAUGAACCAGCUGAGUCAUCCCAACAUCCUCCAGCUCUACGAGGUCUUUGAGGCCAAGCACCAGCUGGUGUUAAUUCUGGAAUAUGUUGAGGGUGGAGAGCUGUUUGAAAGGAUCGUGGAUGAGAGUGCACUGCUGACCGAGGUGGAUGCCAUGGUGUUUGCCAAGCGGAUCUGUGAAAGGGUCAGCUACAUGCAUCAGUUGUACGUCCUCCACCUCGACCUGAAAGUGAGUAUGGUGGACUCGAUAUGCAUCGUCUCAAACCAGAUUUUAAGGCCCACCACCAACUGUCACAAAUGACAAGACACAUUUUAAUCACCACUUGAAGCACUGCGUGGUCACUCACCAUGAAUCAAAGAGGCACUCAUGCAUGUGUCGGUGUCAUGAAAAGUAAUCAAUGGUUCUUUUAUCCACUCCAAUGUUUACAACCGGAGAAUAUCCUUUGUGUGAAUCACACUGGCCAUCAGGUGAAGAUUAUCGACUUUGGGCUGGUCAGAAGAGGACGAAUAAGUGCUGCACAGUGUCUAAGACGCCCGUGGCGCAACAACAUUGCAGAGAAGGCUAAGGGCAGCAAUAUAGUACUGAAGUCCCAGGUCCUACUGAAGAAAUACCUGGCGAAGAGACUAUGGAAGAUCAUCAGUUCAACAGAUUUCCUACACCACACAUGGUACUCUGGUUCAUUUUGUGGUUAGAAGAUAUAUUGUUUACAUUACAGCAGUUUUAUCAUCUUUGCACUGCAAUCAACUUCAUGUAAAUUGAUUCGGGUCUACCAGUUGAUGAGAUGCAACGAAGCUUCCUGCCUUGCUCACUGUAUGUUGUAAAUGUGCUUCUGACCUCUUCCGUUGGACUGCAUUCCUGUAAAGACUUCCCUCACAAUCAGUCAGAAGAUCCUCAUCUUGGUCUGUCUGUGUAAAAUAAACUGGUGUGUGAUUAAAUAGUGGCUACGCUACAUCAUUUGACUCGUAAAAUGUACAUAAAUGUUCUUUAAUAUUUGUACCUUUUCGUGUGGAAAUGUAUGGAAGC